This 370-nucleotide unclassified non-coding RNA is filed under the name Hevea brasiliensis (rubber tree). The record is from RNAcentral. Lineage: Eukaryota; Viridiplantae; Streptophyta; Magnoliopsida; Malpighiales; Euphorbiaceae.
UGAUCAUUCAAAAGCAUAAUAGUACCAAAACUUAGUGGAAAUUCAAUUUCUGAGUUAUAUCACUAGCAUUUAAACCUCUUGAGCACUAUGAAAACCCUAAUAAUUAUAACAUUAAUCAAUUAAUCAGUUGGAAAAAUAUAUUUUUAAGAAUGAAAGGAGUUAUAGCUUGCAUAGUAAAUUUUACUUAAGCAAUAGGGCAUUAAUUGUUGCUAUAUAUAUAUUGAAAAUGAAAUAUCUGAACUUUGAAAUGAACACAUACCCUCUCCACCCCCACUGAGAGAGAUGGAGAGGUGGGGCAAAGGCUUUAUUGCCUGCACUUAUAAUUAUAGCUACCAAUACAUCUAUGGUUGCAAUCAUUUGUACUUGGAAA